This 483-nucleotide ribosomal RNA is filed under the name uncultured bacterium. RNAcentral describes it as "partial 16S ribosomal RNA". It matches the Rfam family "Bacterial small subunit ribosomal RNA", at positions 29 to 506 of the family's 1533-position model. The record is from RNAcentral.
AUUGAACGCUGGCGGCAUGCUUUACACAUGCAAGUCGAACGGCAGCGCGGGCUUCGGCCUGGCGGCGAGUGGCGAACGGGUGAGUAAUGCAUCGGAACGUGCCCAGUAGUGGGGGAUAGCCCGGCGAAAGCCGGAUUAAUACCGCAUACGACCUGAGGGUGAAAGCGGGGGACCGAAAGGCCUCGCGCUAUUGGAGCGGCCGAUGUCGGAUUAGCUAGUUGGUGGGGUAAAGGCUUACCAAGGCGGCGAUCCGUAGCUGGUCUGAGAGGACGACCAGCCACACUGGGACUGAGACACGGCCCAGACGCCUACGGGAGGCAGCAGUGGGGAAUUUUGGACAAUGGGGGCAACCCUGAUCCAGCCAUGCCGCGUGCGGGAAGAAGGCCUUCGGGUUGUAAACCGCUUUUGUUCGGGAAGAAAUCCUCUGGGAUAAUACCCCGGGGGGAUGACGGGACCGGAAGAAUAAGCACCGGCUAACUAAGU